AGAAGCUAGAGAAAUACCAUC
RNAcentral lists this non-coding RNA (21 nucleotides) under Gossypium hirsutum (cotton). Lineage: Eukaryota; Viridiplantae; Streptophyta; Magnoliopsida; Malvales; Malvaceae. The record is from RNAcentral.